Non-coding RNA from Schistosoma mansoni, 45 nucleotides. NCBI's taxonomy places the organism in Eukaryota, Metazoa, Platyhelminthes, Trematoda, Strigeidida, Schistosomatidae. The record is from Rfam.
AUCCAGCUGACGAGUUCCAAAUAGGACGAAAUGCGCGUCCUGGAU